Molecule: long non-coding RNA, 3461 nt
Organism: Acinonyx jubatus (cheetah)
Lineage: Eukaryota; Metazoa; Chordata; Mammalia; Carnivora; Felidae
Exons: 3
Source: RefSeq, a predicted model, not a curated record
CAGAAUGAGCACACUGAUGCCUAAAGAGCAUGGUGGAGUAGAAGGGGCAUCCGCUUUGGAAUCAAACAGACCUGGUUUUCAACCCCCCACUCUGCCACCUUGGGGAUCAGGUCUCACCCUGUCUCAGGAAGACGUCAGGGGUCAGCACAAGGCCAGACUCCGAGUUGAUGAGUCACUCUGGGAGAAGGCCAAUCGCAGGAUGAAGGUCUGGUUCCAUUAAAAGCAGGCAACGUGGUGGAAAAACGUAUUUUGGAGAAAGCAGUAGAAGGGUGAGGCCAACAAACUUUGGUUCUUCUCCAAGCCAGUACAUCUGCUAUGGCACCCAUGGAGAACCACUGAAAGGUGUGGUGAAAAGCUAGAGCCCACAUGCAUUACUGCUCCUUCUUUCCCACACGUCACCACCACCAUUACCUCCAUUACCACACCUCUCCACCGUCAUCACCAUCUCCGCCCCUACCCCCCAUCACCUCCGCUAGCUUCCCUCCAUUGCCAUCACAUUAUUUGGCAGGUACCAUUCUAGGAGCUGUGUUUCCUUUUCAUUUAAUUUAUUUAACAUGAGCUGUUUUCUUUAAUAACGAGGAAACCAUUAGAGACGUCGGGCAACAUGACCAAGGUAUAUGUCUUGGGGUCACAGAGUUGGAAUUCUCACCCAAGCCUGUCUAAUACUAAGGCUGUGCUCUCGACCACUGUGCCAGACCAAAGAUGCCCCUUGAGGCAGAAGGGUAGAGUCCAGAUGAACAAACAAACCACAAAGCAAAGGCCGAUCCUACUCCAUCCCACCGACAGCUACUCCUCUCUUUCUGCUCAUAUGGACGUUCAGUGACACCAUAGUACUCUUUAGAAUCAUGGGUGAUUAUUAUCCUUCUUCUCCCUUGGGGCCAUGGCUCCCUUCCUCAUUUUCACCAGCAAGAGGCAGUUGCCACGUCCCUUCUAUUGUAAAUCAUCAUGGCCAUUCUUGCCUUCCCAGUGGGUCACUGUGACCUCUGCUUGAGGAUUUCAGGGAAAUACCAAUUUCUUUCACAAAAGCUCCCCAACAUCUAGCACAGCAGGAGACGUAAGCCAAAUCUUAACAUGUGAGGACUGAACGAAGUGCAGGGCCACCUGCUAGCCCCACGUGCCCUAGGCUUAGGACACACAGCACUGGAAAGGCCACCCUUCCAAGAAUCCCAGGCAUGUGUUCCUUCACAAGAAGAUUAGAGGCCAGGGGAACACAGGUGAGUCAGUCAUGAGCUACAAAGAGUUAAUGUUGGAGCAGACCUGGCAAGGAGGUAAACAGUCUGUCGAAGGUUCCUGAGUCUUUUCUCUGCCUGUGCCAGCACCGGAGCAAUGGCUCAGCCAGGUAGCCGUCUCCUGUUGCUGGCUUGGAAAAAUUUCCAGGGGACUCUUCGAGCAUUAGCAUUUUGGAAUGAACCUGAUCCCAGUUAAAGAACCAAAUGUCAGAAAAGCUGAACAUAAAUCUUGCCUAGGGUAAGGAUUCCUUGACAGAUUUUUUUUUUUUCACUAGGGUUACAAGAAAGAAAAGGCCAGCCUGAUUCUAUGAGCCAUGAUCAUAGUACUUCUCUUUCUGGAAAAAACUUGUGGUUGCAGAGGUUUUCUGUUAUUUGAGCUCCUGGAAACUGUCUGUGGCUGUGGGUCCUGCUCCCGCAUUGGGGUGCUGGUUCCGUGGGACACUCCCUGUAGUAGACAGGCAGCGUUAGUCUAUUCUGUCAAAUGAGGUGCAGCUGUAUUCACUGCUUAUAGUGAAAUUCACAGGAAGUUAAACCACAAUCCGUGUUACAGAAUCCAUUCCAGGCAUUUGCAUUUUGCAAUAUUAAAGCAGGUAAAGUACAUCCUCGGGGUCUUCCACCCCUAGCUUCCAGAAGACCAAUCUUAUACUACUUAUAACAACUGCAGCAGCUAAUGUUUAAAGAGACCUUACUCUGCCCUAUUUUACAUCCAUAAUCUCACUAAUCCUCAUGACAAUCCUAUGAGAUACAUACUAUCCCCAUUUUAUAGGUGAAACUGACCCAGAAGGGUUCCAAAGCUUUUCUAAAUUCACACCGAACGUAUGUCAGAACAAAGAUGUGACCUUCAGGCUGUUGGAUUCCAGGGAUCCUGAUACUAACUUCUGGGUAAUGAUACCUCUGGGUAAAAUAAAAGACACUGAACCCCAGUGGGAUUGUUGCUUCCACAUCUUCCAACCCCCAAGGUCUUCAAAGACACACACGCAGUUGACUACAGGAGUAAAUUGCAGGUGAGUUACUGGGGCCAGUGCACCGAAUUUCCAGAAGCAGGCUGCUUUUGAUGGGAAUGUAUGCCUGGGAGAGCUCUGUACCUGUGCAACUCAGGAGCUGGACUGAUACCUAACGAACACACCUGUAUCAUUAACAAGAAAGAAUAGUGAGACCCAGCAGACUGACCACACCAGUGUAAGUCAAGAGCACCAGGUUCUGAUCACCUUAAUGUAUAAUCUCUUGCUUUUGGUUAGAUGGGACGACUGAACCAUAGGAGGAGAAUUGGAGUGAGUGGUGAAGAUUAUUCUCCAUCAAUCCCUGGGCACUCUGUUGUCAGCACAGAGGGCUAGGGCAGAGAAAGAGUUCUAUGAAGAGAGAAGGAAAGCAAGCUGACCCACGUAUUCUGGGAGUGUGUGUAAGGGACAGGUGGAUGUGGGUCCAAUCUUCUGAGCCCCCACAUCACAGCAAAUCAUUCUAAGGGAUACCAAGGACAAAUUACUGAUUCUAGGGCAAACGAAAUAAGAUGAAUCUGGUUUUACCUGAUAUAACACCAAUUCUGAUCACCUCUUUUUCUUUUCUUUAAAACUGGACUAAGAACUCAAUGACUUACUUUAUUGUUCUGUUUAAACAAUUAAAUUUAUGCACCAAUGUUAAAGAUACCUGUAGUAUCUUUAUUAUUUUUUUAAGUUUUUAUUUAUUUAUUUUGACAGAGAGAAAGCACAAGCAGGGAAGGGGCAGAGAGAGGGGAGAGAGCAAGCAUCCCAAGCAGGCUCUGCACCAUGAGAGAAGAGCCCAAAGCGGGGUUUGAACUCAUGAACAGUGAGAUCAUGACCUGAGCUGAAGUCUAACGCUUCACCGGCUGAGCUCCCGAGGUGCCCCAGUAUCUUUAUUAUUUUAACUUUAUUCUUUCAACCUUAACCCAAAUUCAACAGGAAGCAAACUUCACAAGCUCUUAGUGUGAGCAUUACUCUCAGGACCUUAUUAUUAUUCUAAUACUGAGCAGAUACAUGCUUUUCUUCUGCUAGUGACACUGUGGAUCUGGAGAGCUCACACACACACACACACACACGCGCGCGCCUUCGAUGCAUGUAACAAAUAGUAGUAUAAAUUCUAUAGUAAUCAUUGGGUAUUGCUUUCCUUUGGGGAAAAGAAGACAAGUUUGUACCCAUGGCCCCGGUGGUUACAAUGGUCUUCUCUGUAACCGGACUAUAAAGAAAUCCAAUCAGUUGAUGAUAGACACAAGAGCCC